AGAGCAGGAUGAAGAUGGAGAUGAGUCAAUUGUGGAGGAGGAUGGAGGAGGGAUGCUGUGAAUGAAAACACUUCAUCAACAUCAGCAGCAGGAGAGGAGUCAGAUCAAAACACUCAGAAAAACCUGAAACGUCAUGGACAUUUCGGUCUCAAUUCAC
Long non-coding RNA from Thunnus maccoyii (southern bluefin tuna), 157 nucleotides. RefSeq lists it as uncharacterized. The transcript has 2 exons. The record is from RefSeq and is a predicted model, not a curated record. Lineage: Eukaryota; Metazoa; Chordata; Actinopteri; Scombriformes; Scombridae.